GCCGAAGGAUGCAAGCGUUAUCCGGAUUCAUUGGGUUUAACGGGAGCGUAGGUGGCCUUAUAAGUCAGUGGUGAAAUCUCGAGGCUUAACCUCGAAAUUGCCAUUGAUACUGUAGGGCUUGAGUAUAGUUGCCGUUGGCGGAAUAUGACAUGUAGUGGUGAAAUACAUAGAGAUGUCAUAGAACACCGAUUGCGAAGGCAGCUAACGAAACUAUAACUGACACUGAGGCUCGAAAGUGCGGGGAUCAAACAGG
This 253-nucleotide ribosomal RNA is filed under the name uncultured bacterium. RNAcentral describes it as "partial 16S ribosomal RNA". It matches the Rfam family "Bacterial small subunit ribosomal RNA", at positions 524 to 776 of the family's 1533-position model. The record is from RNAcentral.